Molecule: long non-coding RNA, 420 nt
Organism: Alosa sapidissima (American shad)
Lineage: Eukaryota; Metazoa; Chordata; Actinopteri; Clupeiformes; Clupeidae
Exons: 3
Source: RefSeq, a predicted model, not a curated record
CUCGUAGGAUGAAAGUUGCCGUCGCUGGCAGUAGGCUACUCUGGAGGAGCGUUUUCUUGUGCUUAUUUCACGCUGGGCAUCGUGUGACAAAAGCUCCCUGGAAUCCUGCCUUAUUUCACCCGACAUUUGACUAGUAGACUACCCAUGUUCAUCAAGCUGACGCGCCCUCCCUCCUCCACUCUGACCCCUCGGGCCUCUUGCCCAUAGCACAAACAAGGCCAAGGUAGGCAGCAAUGGCUUACUUGUACUGCCAGUUAACCAUGCAAUAAUGAUUGGGGUUGCUACAUGGGUUCAGAAAAAUGUGUAUUUGUAUGUUAUUUAUAUUUUAAGAUUUAAGUGCAUACAUUUUGUACUGAUUAAAAGUUCUUUGUAUUGAUAACUGUAAAGUUAUGACUUGUGGCAUGUAGGUGAUAAUUGAAG